Molecule: long non-coding RNA, 463 nt
Organism: Fopius arisanus
Lineage: Eukaryota; Metazoa; Arthropoda; Insecta; Hymenoptera; Braconidae
Exons: 3
Source: RefSeq, a predicted model, not a curated record
AGGUGCGAGUCACAGGCCUCAUCAAACAGUUCUCCGACAAGUCACUGAUAAACUUCAAUCGUUCUCAACGAAUAUCCAAUUGAUAAUCGCCAAGAUGCCAGGACCAUGCUGCGACAAGUGCUCCUCCCAGUGCAAGGAUGGCUGCAAAUGCGGAGAUAACUGUAAGUGCUCCAGUGGUGGAUGUUCAGACCAAUGCUCUUGCAAAUCUGGUGAACAAUGCAAUUGCAAAACAUGCGCCUGCAAAUAAAUAUCCUUUCAUGAUGACUUUACAAGAUAUCACCUAAUCAUCGCUUCAAUUGGACCGGCAGCUUUUGCAAUGAAUGCUUUAAAGGAUCAAUAAUAUUUACAAUCAGAUAAAUUGAAUACUUUGAUGAAAAUGUAUUACACUGAUGAUAUAAAUCGUCAAUGCUGCGUGGUAGCCAUUAAAUGUUGAUAGUAUUAUUAAAAUUCAAUACGACUGUGA